UUGACUGUUGAUAGCUUGAGUAUUGUCAAUGUGUUCAAUUUAAUUUGCAACGUGGCAAGAGUGGAUUUUCCCAAUGGCAGUGAAUACUCCUUGGAUUUUAUAUGGCUAGAAUCUCGAUGCAGAAAAAAUACCUUUUUACUACGAUUCAGUGGUGGUUGAUACGUAGAUUGAGGUGUCCGCGUACCCCCAUUUUUUGGGUAAGUAUCUUGACACUCAAUAGUCACAUCUUCCAUCCAGAGCCACUCCGCUGACGGUCAAAGUCUUUGUAUAUUUUUAAUGUGAAUUGCAAAGAUAUAUUGACUAACUAUCUAUGUAUGAUUGAAUUAUGAUGCUAAUGUGAGCAUUCACUUAGGUUUUAUGAGUUGCGUUGGAAAAAUCGACAUUUAAACAUUA
Molecule: non-coding RNA, 393 nt
Organism: Theobroma cacao (cacao)
Lineage: Eukaryota; Viridiplantae; Streptophyta; Magnoliopsida; Malvales; Malvaceae
Source: RefSeq, a predicted model, not a curated record